AUCAACUUUCGAUGGUAGGAUAGAGGCCUACCAUGGUGGUAACGGGUAACGGGGUGUUAGGGCACGACACCGGAGAGGGAGCCUGAGAAACGGCUACCACAUCCAAGGAUGGCAGCAGGCGCGCAAAUUACCCAAUCCCGACACGGGGAGGUAGUGACAAUAAAUAACAAUACGGGGUUCUUUAGGAUCUCGUAAUUGGAAUGAGUACAAUUUAAAUCUCUUAACGAGGAACAAUUGGAGGGCAAGUCUGGUGCCAGCAGCCGCGGUAAUUCCAGCUCCAAUAGCGUAUAUUAAAGUUGUUGCAGUUAAAAAGCUCGUAGUUGAAUUUCGGGGUUAGUAGGUUGGUCAUGCCUCCGGUAUGUACUGAUCUCACUGAUUCCUCCUUCCUUAUGAACCGUAAUGCCAUUAAUUUGGUGUUGCGGGGAAUUUGGACUGUUACUUUGAAAAAAUUAGAGUGUUUAAAGCAGGCUAACGCUUGAAUACAUUAGCAUGGAAUAAUGAAAUAGGACGUUCGAUCUUAUUUUGUUGGUUUCUAGGAUUGACGUAAUGAUUAAUAGGGAUAGUUGGGGGCAUUAGUAUUCAAUUGUCAGAGGUGAAAUUCUUGGAUUUAUUGAAGACUAACUACUGCGAAAGCAUUUGCCAAGGAUGUUUUCAUUAAUCAAGAACGAAAGUUAGGGGAUCGAAGACGAUCAGAUACCGUCGUAGUCUUAACCAUAAACUAUGCCGACUAGGGAUCGGAUGAUGUUAACUUUUUAAUGACUCAUUCGGCGCCUUACG
RNAcentral lists this ribosomal RNA (777 nucleotides) under uncultured Glomus. RNAcentral describes it as "SSU rRNA". It matches the Rfam family "Eukaryotic small subunit ribosomal RNA", at positions 314 to 1092 of the family's 1831-position model. Lineage: Eukaryota; Fungi; Glomeromycota; Glomeromycetes; Glomerales; Glomeraceae. The record is from RNAcentral.